AAAGAAGAUCUCGCAGGUCCGUCUGAGUUGACUUUAUCGGUCAGGUAUAAUCGACGGCCCACUUGCCCUGAUGCCACCAUGGGGGUGCAUUUUCCCACCCCGCCGCCCUCACGCCACAGGAAGAGCCACAGCCUUGGAAACACUAUGAUGUGGCAUUUCGGUGUGGUGGAGAGUAAAAGUGCGACGUUCCCCACAGAGAAACCACGUCA
Cyprinus carpio (common carp) is the source of this 209-nucleotide long non-coding RNA. RefSeq lists it as uncharacterized. The transcript has 3 exons. The record is from RefSeq and is a predicted model, not a curated record. Lineage: Eukaryota; Metazoa; Chordata; Actinopteri; Cypriniformes; Cyprinidae.